Molecule: ribosomal RNA, 506 nt
Filed under: uncultured bacterium
Lineage: Bacteria
Description: partial 16S ribosomal RNA
Rfam family: Bacterial small subunit ribosomal RNA
Source: RNAcentral
AUUGAACGCUGGCGGCAGGCCUAACACAUGCAAGUCGAACGGUAACAGGAAACAGCUUGCUGUUUCGCUGACGAGUGGCGGACGGGUGAGUAAUGUCUGGGAAACUGCCUGAUGGAGGGGGAUAACUACUGGAAACGGUAGCUAAUACCGCAUAACGUCGCAAGACCAAAGAGGGGGACCUUCGGGCCUCGUGCCAUCGGAUGUGCCCAGAUGGGAUUAGCUAGUAGGUGGGGUAACGGCUCACCUAGGCGACGAUCCCUAGUUGGUCUGAGAGGAUGACCAGCCACACUGGAACUGAGACACGGUCCAGACUCCUACGGGAGGCAGCAGUGGGGAAUAUUGCACAAUGGGCGCAAGCCUGAUGCAGCCAUGUCGCGUGUAUGAAGAAGGCCUUCGGGUUGUAAAGUACUUUCAGCGGGGAGGAAGGGAGUAAAGUUAAUACCUUUGCUCAUUGACGUUACCCGCAGAAGAAGCACCGGCUAACUCCGUGCCAGCCGCCGCCGUAA